Molecule: ribosomal RNA, 307 nt
Filed under: uncultured eukaryote
Lineage: Eukaryota
Description: partial 18S ribosomal RNA
Rfam family: Eukaryotic small subunit ribosomal RNA
Source: RNAcentral
CCCUUAGACGUUCUGGGCCGCACGCGCGCUACACUGACACAGGCAACGAGCUUUCCUUUACCGAAAGGUAUGGGUAAUCUUUUGAAACUGUGUCGUGCUGGGGAUAGAUCCUUGCAAUUUUUGAUCUUAAACGAGGAAUUCCUAGUAAGCGCGAGUCAUCAACUCGCGUUGAUUACGUCCCUGCCCUUUGUACUCACCGCCCGUCGCUACUACCGAUUGAAUGGCUUAGUGAGGCCUCAGGAUCCGCGCUUAAUGUGUGGAGAAUUUGGACAAACUACGUCAUUUAGAGGAAGUAAAAGUCGUAACA